Molecule: ribosomal RNA, 483 nt
Filed under: uncultured bacterium
Lineage: Bacteria
Description: partial 16S ribosomal RNA
Rfam family: Bacterial small subunit ribosomal RNA
Source: RNAcentral
AUUGAACGCUGGCGGCAGGCCUAACACAUGCAAGUCGAGCGGAUGAAGGGAGCUUGCUCCUGGAUUCAGCGGCGGACGGGUGAGUAAUGCCUAGGAAUCUGCCUGGUAGUGGGGAUAACGUCCGGAAACGGGCGCUAAUACCGCAUACGUCCUGAGGGAGAAAGUGGGGGAUCUUCGGACCUCACGCUAUCAGAUGAGCCCAGGUCGGAUUAGCUAGUUGGUGGGGUAAAGGCCUACCAAGGCGACGAUCCGUAACUGGUCUGAGAGGAUGAUCAGUCACACUGGAACUGAGACACGGUCCAGACUCCUACGGGAGGCAGCAGUGGGGAAUAUUGGACAAUGGGCGAAAGCCUGAUCCAGCCAUGCCGCGUGUGUGAAGAAGGUCUUCGGAUUGUAAAGCACUUUAAGUUGGGAGGAAGGGCAGUAAGUUAAUACCUUGCUGUUUUGACGUUACUAACAGAAUAAGCACCGGCUAACUUCGUG